UAAUUUCACACUACAAGAUUGAAAACGAUUAUUUCACGUUUUCUCUCAUUCUAAAUAUUACAUCCCAAAACUUCUUCUCUUUAUCUUGUUCUCCACUUUCUCUUCAUCAGACUUCACAUAACAAUAAAAGGAUGUUCAUGCGAUUGUCGGUCUACCACCUCCAAUACCACUCUUCUUCGUUUGCGAUACCAGCUUAGGAUUCUAGAUCACUACCAGGAUAGGAUGUCUGACGAUGAACGACAUGAAGACCAUGCCGAUUGCCAAAUCUCUCUGCCAUUUUCUCAAUCUGCAUUUUCAGAGGCUUAAGUGAGUGGCCUAAUACAUACUCACCAAACCAAAAUGUAAUUGUACUCAAACAAGGAGCCAAUUUUUACCACUGUGGCCUCGACAACAAGAGAGUGUAUGGUAUCUUAUCAGUUAUGCGGCCACCUUAGUGUUUUGUACCCUAUUUUUCUCUUAGUUUUAAUUUGUUAUUAUAAAGAAAAAUCACCCGUUGUUUUUACUUGAUUACUUUAGAGUAUAUUUUCCAUGUGUACUCUGUUUCUCUUUGCAUAAUCCAUAUGCUGGAAGUUGUAGAACUAAAUUGAUUGAACUCAAUGGUAUGAAUUCUAUUUCACCAGUUAAAGCAUGUAUUCUUUGUUA
This is a long non-coding RNA of Humulus lupulus (European hop), 642 nucleotides long. RefSeq lists it as uncharacterized. The record is from RefSeq and is a predicted model, not a curated record. Lineage: Eukaryota; Viridiplantae; Streptophyta; Magnoliopsida; Rosales; Cannabaceae. The transcript is spliced from 2 exons.